This 403-nucleotide ribosomal RNA is filed under the name uncultured bacterium. Its description in RNAcentral is "bacterial SSU rRNA". It matches the Rfam family "Bacterial small subunit ribosomal RNA", at positions 28 to 430 of the family's 1533-position model. The record is from RNAcentral.
GAUGAACGCUAGCGGGAGGCCUAAUACAUGCAAGUCGAACGGUAAGGUCCCUUCGGGGAUACACGAGUGGCGGACGGGUGCGUAACGCGUACGAAACAUACCUUCAACAGGGAGAUACCUCCGGGAAACUGGAAAUAACACCCCAUAGUAUUGAGAUAUCGCAUGAUAUUCCAAUUAAAGCUUUGGCGGUUGAAGAUUGUCGUGCGUCUGAUUAGCUAGUUGGUGAGGUAACGGCUCACCAAGGCGACGAUCAGUAGCUGGUCUGAGAGGAUGAUCAGCCACACUGGAACUGAGACACGGUCCAGACUCCUACGGGAGGCAGCAGUAGGGAAUAUUGGACAAUGGGCGGAAGCCUGAUCCAGCCAUCCCGCGUGUAGGAAGUAAGGCCCUAUGGGUUGUAAAC